Molecule: long non-coding RNA, 7329 nt
Filed under: Homo sapiens (human)
Lineage: Eukaryota; Metazoa; Chordata; Mammalia; Primates; Hominidae
Description: HSALNT0273324
Source: RNAcentral
CACACUGCUGCUCAUUAAAACUCCAGAAUCCCUCCCUGGAAAUUUGUUCCUUUCUGAUGUGCCGUUUACACAGCUCUCAGCAACUGGCACCGGUUCUGAGAAUAUUUUAUGACUACCUUUUGCUGGGCAAAUGCCAACCCUCUGAAGAUGAAGAGAGGGGAAGUUCUGUUCAUUUUGCUUCACGGAGAAGAACCAUCUCUUGCCCGAUGACUCUGGUGUCCUCCUGCAUUCUGGUACAUUCUUCAGUGGCACGAAUAGGACCAUUCCAUGGCUAACGCCACUCACCAAAGCCUCCAUCCCCUUUCAGAUGGGAAGGAAACUGGGCAUCCAGAAUCUUGUUAUGACACAGGCGAUUCCAAACGAAAAGGGCCCCUCAGGUUUUAUUAAUGUAUUUUCUGGCUGUUAGAUAAAACAGCAGUGUUUUGGAGUCAAAGAAACAUGAGGCCUCUUCCUAGAUGAUAGACUAUGUUUUGAAGAAUGAGUUUAGGUCUCCCUUUAGUUUAUCCAAUGAACAAGGUAUGAAGUUGUUUUUCCCUCACAGCAAGGUUUCUUCAGAACAGGAUUUGAAAGUGCCUGCAAGUGGCUGAGAGAGACCUUUCUCUGAGGUGAAGAGCAGAUGAAACAUUCACUAAACAGGCUGGGUUUCCUGAGUCUUGAAGGCAAACAUGAAAAGUCUGUGAAGGAUGCUUUCUAAAGACACAUAAGAAAGGAGGGGAGGAGAGUGGGGAGAGGACAGGAAGCUGAGGCUGCAGCGAGGCAAGAGUUUGCGUCCCCAUCUUGUGUUCUUUUGGAUUUUUUUUUUUUGAGACAGGGUCUUCCUCUGUCACCUAGCCUGGUGCAGUGUUGCAAUCUUGGCUCACUGCAGCCUUGACCUCUUGGGCUCAAGUGAUCCUUCCACCUCAGCCUCCCAAGUAGCUGGGACUACAGGCAUGCGUCACCACCCCACACCCGGCUAAUUUGUGUGUGUGUGUGUGUGUGUGUGUAGAUACAAUAUAUAUAAUGUGUAUAUAUAAAUUUAUGUAUGUAUAUACAUAUAAAUAUGUAUAUAUACAUGUAUAUACAUAUAAAUAUGUAUAUAUAUACUCACAUAUCUAUCUAUACAUAUAUAUGCAUAUAGAUACACACACACACAAACACACAUUUUUUUUGUUUGGGUAGAGACAGGGUUUCUUCAUGUUUCUUCUUGUUGCCCAAGCUGGUCUCAAACUCCUGGGCUCGAGCGAUCUGUCCAUCUCAGCCCCCCACAGUGCUGAGAUUACAGGCAUGAGCCACCACACCCAGGGGACCUCUUUUGAUUUUUGAACACAGUACCUGGGCAAACUUUUUUUAAAUUUAAUUUUAAAAUAGAAUAAAAUUAUGUCAUUUAUUCAUCUCUUAGAACUUGGCAAAAUUUCCCACUCAGCUGGGUCACUUGGCCGUGUACUUGAUCUUCCUUCCUCCUUUGCCCUGGCCAAGGAGGCUCCAGUCCUGACAAUCCCCACAGCCCUUGAGGGGUGCCAUAGUGGGGACUGGUGCCCCCAGCAGAUGAGGUGGGUGCUCACCCUGGUUCUGAGACACUGCCUGGACCUCCAGUUACUGUGGGGGCUCUCACGAUAUUUUCGGAAACAUUUGAGUCUUCUGACUUAUUUUUUAAAUGGCUUACAUAGCACACCUAGAGGCUGGGAGAGUGCCACAGCAACUAGAGGUAUCGGCAGUGACAGGUGAGUGACGGGGAGUCUCAGAACCCAGUUCAGAGUCUGGACUCCACCGCAUCCUGGUGGUGCAGACUCAGGCGAGGAACUCAGGGAGUCCGAGCCUCAGCUUGCUCGCACGUAAAGUGAGGAAAGUUCACCUACUUUGCAGGGUGGUGAACACAUGAGCACAUGUAUUAGAGCUCCCUUCGUAAAGUAGUUCAUUAGCAAUCAAUGCAAACGGCGAUGGCUGCCCUGGGAGGGAAGCCCCCGAAGGAAGGAGCAGGCCCUCAAAGGCCCCUCCAAGGUCUCCUGCCUCACUAGUCCGUCCAGGGCCUGUGUGGUCAAUGGCUGGCCAGCUCACUCCACCUCCUCUCACUCCCAGGCCAUCCCAGCAUGGGGGGACAAAUUCCCUCCCUCUCCCCUUCACACCGAUGACUGGCAGGCCAAGUGCCCCCUCCCUUUGCCAACAGCACCCUGGACUGUUUCUCCCAGGUACCCACCUCUCUGCCUUUGCACAUGGAUUUGGCUACUGAUGGAAGCCCUGUUACUACACCAAUUGCUGGACCAGGAGGGAACCAAGCUGGACCACAGGGUCUCUGUCUUGGAAAUUUGAAUUUUGAGUGCUGGGACUUGAAGAUGGAAAACGGUCCCUUCUCCUUGUCCCUCGCCUUCCACCCACCCCACACGUUUCAGUCACUCACCGUCCUUUUCCCACCCACAGGAUAUCAUCUGGCUCAUGGACCCUAAAAACUGUGUUCUGAAGGAGAAGAGUGUCAUGAGAUGGCCCAUUUGCUCACAGGACAGCAGCGUUACAACCCCAAGACGCCAUGGCCCCCAUCCCCAAGCAGGGAGUCCCCAGAUAGUGUUGUGAAGGAGUCAACCAGUUCCGGAGAUGGAGGCUGAGCUACUGUGAGGUCAGUGGCCCCAGCUGGAGCCAGGCUGCUUAGAUUGCAGCUGGAGAGCUGGUGGAGGGGAGUAGGAGGGACCCGAGUCUUCUGUAGAAAGAAGCCUCUUGUCCCGGGGAGUCAGGUUCCAUGCAUUCCUGAUCCAAUGUCCGGUGCUGGGCGCCAGAGGAAACAGGGAUCCUGGGGGUCUGUCCUCAUUCUAAGCCCCCAGAGCGAGGGGCUGUAGGAAAACUCACAGAGUUGCUCCCUGGGGCUCUGUGCCAAUGUGGGCAAGAGGCACAUGUUACCACUUAUCUUGGGAUAACUUCAAGGGUCAGAGGAGGGACCCAGCCUGGCUCCCGUCACCUUAGCACAUGAGGGUCCUGGGGAAACCCCGGGGGCAGCUUCCAAAUGUGCCUCCAAGAUGAUGCCUGGAUGCGGGAGCCUGCCCUCAGGGCCACAGCCCAACCCUCCACCCUGCAGGAUGCCCUGAGAGGCUCCUUCGCCUCCCCAGAGCCAGGAGGGGCUGGGUGGGUCUGGGGGGAUCCCUUCACCCUCCUCUCACUCCCCAGUGCUUCGGGGCUUGCAGAGGUCCAGGUGAUUCCGGCAGAAACUCAACCUCAGCAAACUGGAGCUCAAGGAAACAGAGGGGCUUUUGACCUAAUUAUUCCCAAUUGCUUGUCUCCAUCGAUCACACUCUCUUGGUAAUUGCCCAACUCCCCACUUUGGGGUGGGGGGUGUGUUUCUCAGGGGGCUGCAUUCGCGUGGGAUAAAUGGGGUGUGGCGCUGAGAAACAUGCAGGCCCUCGCUUUCCGCACACUGUGGCCUUUGUGGAGGAGUGUUUUGUUUACUGCCAUUAAAAUUCAGAGAGCACGACCAGGGAGCGUGCAGGGCCGUGGGAGGGACAAGGGCUGGCUCCUCAGGGAGAGGCCUGGGCUGAUGUAAGCUGAGCGUGGGCCUGGCCCCGGGGGAGUCCCCACCAUCUGGGCCCAGAUCCCACUUACAUGGUCACUGGUGUUUGCAAACCCUUGAUUCUGUGCAGAAACCCAUCCGUGGUUCCCUUUCUGACGUCCAUCUCAGGGCCCUGGCCUCCUGGGCCCAGCAUCCAGGGAUCCUCCACACUCCCCUAGCUCCACACCUCCCACCUCACCUCACGCUAUUCCCCCAAACUGCUUCCCUGCUCAUUAUUUCUGAAGGUGACCCUGAGAACGAGCACCUCAGCCCUUGGCCUGAUCUUUGCCGGGGCCGGUGUCCCCCUGUGGAUGCAGGGCUCUCUCUGGCCUCCAGGGGACCCACGCCUGCCUCCUCCCCUCCGAGCUCCUCCAGCACCAAUGGUCUGCACCCCCUAAUUGUGUCUGGAGGGCAUCGGCUUCCCCUCAUUUCUGUACCUGACUCCCCAGCCAGCCUGAGGACUCCCGGGGGGACUUUAGGCCCCAGCACUCAACGUCACGUCACACUGGGGCAGAGCUCAGUGUGCAUCUGUUGGUUGAUGACAUUAUCAGGCAGCAGGUGCAUUCCAGUGCCAUCUACCCCACAGGAAUCCAUUCCCUUUGAACGGCCAGGCCAGGCCUCCACUGUCCCCUCCCAGCCUGCCCAUGUGGUUCCAAUACUGUUGACACUUUGACUCUUGUGUGGCUCCCAGGCUGGUCUAUGGAGAGGCUUCAGCCAGCUGCAACCACACCACUCCUGGUGUCCGAAUCCUCUGUCCCAACAAUUGCAUGCACUAUUGGCUCAAAAAAGCGUUUUGAAUAUCAAAUGCAAACUCAAUGGGUUGGGACUCAUGGGAACAUUUUCAUCAAAUGCUGGAGAACUUACGGACUCACCUUUCCUUUUCUCCACCUUUCUCCUACAUUCACCAAAACAUUGAACUGAUUGGAGGUCCUGGCCAUCUCACUCACUAAUGGCAACCCCUCCCAAAUGAGUGUCUCCAUUCUGGUAUGUGAGCCAGUGAGCUUCAAUGAACCUCAUAACUUCCAUGUAAUAACAUCUAUGUUCCCUGAAAGCUCUGGUACUUAACCAGGGGCAAUUUUCCCUCCAGGGGACAUUUGGCAACAUCUGGAAACAUUUUUAAUUACACAAUGGGAGGGAGGAGUGCUCCUAGAAUUUAGUGGGGAGAAGCCAGGGAUAAACAUCCGACAAUGCACAGGACAACCGCUCACAAGAAAAAGUGAUCCAGCCCCAAAUGUCAAUAAUGCCAAGGUUGAGAACUGUGCCCUGAAUGUAUUAUAAAGUGUCUUGUAGAAGGUAGUUCUAUUUUAUUUAACUUGUGAUUCGACAUCAGCAAUUCUUGCCUGCCCAGGUUGGUCACCCACACCGCCAGAGGGAAAUGAAGGGCUAGAGGGGACUUCUAACUUGGAAUGGAGACAAAAGGCACAAGACUCCCACAGCAAAUGACAGUAAAGGGGUGCCUGGAGGUCCGGUGCAUUUCUGGGAGCCAGUCCGAAGGGAGACCUCCCUUUUAAAUUCCAAGCACUCAGUCAAUCCAACUCACAGGAAGGCUCCAGAUGAAAGGCCGAUGAGAGAUGUGGAAAGAGAGCACUUUUGUUUCUAAGCUUACAGAGAAGGGUGGAGAAUUUUUUAACUGAGCCAAACCACACACACCUCUAUUGGGGCAUGAAAAAUUUGCGCAUCAACAAGACACAAUCAUGCAAGUGACACGGCUUUUCAUGCGAGUCACCCACGUGGCUCACCAAAUCAAAUGUGAAAGCUUAUUUGUUUUGUGGAAAUUCUCAAAUAAUGGCUCUGCCUGUUGCAGCAGGUAAAACUUACAGUUGAAUUGUGAUAGAGUUUUUUCAACACAGGAUUUUUCUGUUUGACAAUAUUUGAACAGAUGGUAUGUGGGGCAGCACAGGAAGGUGCCCAACAGUUUCCACCCUGAGACCCGGAUCCCAGUGUCUUCCAUGGUUGGCCAGUGUGUACUAUAUAUAGAACUUGGAGUGCUCAAAAUCUUGCUUUCUGCAUGACUUGUACUCAACUGGUCUUAUUCCAUUUACUUUUCCCUGCAUAUUUUCCCCUGGCAUUUUAUUGAUUCUAUCAGGAUUACUUUCAGCUGCAAAUAAUGGCAAACCCAACUAAGAGUGGCUUAAGCAGUGAAGACAAUGACUUAAUUAUCAUUAUAGUCACAUAACAACAGUCAGAAAAUUCCAGGGUUGCUGUCGUGUGGCUCAGUGAUGUCAUGGAAGGAGCUUUUUCUGCUUGGCUAGUCACAGUAAGUUAGAUUUUCAUCUUUAAACUCAUGACCUCAUGAUCAGAAGAUGUCUCUAAAGCUGUAGAUGCAACAACAUUUCAAACAGGAACACAUAGGGUGACGAGCCAACUCCCUUUGCCCAAGGCUGAGGGGUUACUAGAAAGUCCCAAGUUAACUGGGACAAGUUGGUUACCCUAUGGCCACCUUUUGUUAGGGAAGAACAUCUUCCCCAGAAAUUCCAGCAUGUUCUCCUUGGUCUGUUGAUCCAGAACUAGGUCAUAUCCUCACCACUAGACCAAUGACUGGCAAGGAGGCCCAGGAUCCCCCUGCUGUGAUUCAUCCCCUGGGGCUAGAGAAGACCCUCCCCUGGGCUUGCCCAACACUGAAACAGAAUGGAGAUUCUAUUGGCCAGGAAGAAGGUGAGGAACCCAGACAUUCGCCAGAGUGCUCAUGAAAACAAUUAAUUUCCCAGUUAGCCAAAUCUUACCAACCAAGCAGAUUGUGUGUGUUAGACACAUUAUUCAUUCAUUUAUUCCUUAUUAUUUAUUCCUUGAACAAAUAUAUGUGCAAGCUCUAGCCUGGGCCAAGUGGGUCUAGGGGGACCUCCCCCACCCCAGUUCACUCCUCCCACACUGUGGGGCCUACAGAGCUCCAGGUGAUUCUGGCAGAAACUCGACCAUGGCCAACUGGUGCUCCAGGAAACAGAGGGACCUUUGACCUAAUUAUUCCCAAUUGCUUGUCUCCAUCAAUCACAUUCUCUUGAUAAUUGCCCAGCUCCCCACUCUGUUCUUCAGUUUUUUUGUCAAUAAAAAGGAGAAUAUUAUACCUAUUUCAUAGGAUUGUUGAAGAAUUAAGUAACUUAAUACAAGUAAAGUUCACAGAGUUUGCCUGGCACAUGGGAAACAUUCAAUCAAUGUUAGCUAUUACUAUAACACUUGUGGUAGUUUUUCAAAUGGGUUAAAAAUCCUUUUGCACUUCUUUCUUUUCAGGUGGGGGGGAUGGAGGGGAGAGUAAAUCUAUGUUCCUGUCCCUUGAAUCUGUGUGGACUCUAACUGCCUUGACCACUGGGAUAUAGGAAUGUGACUUUGAGGCUGGGUCAUAAAAGGGCAUACCUCUCCUUCCUUGUUUAUGGGAACACUUGCUCUUGGAGUGCUACCCUGAGACCUCCAUACUGGGCAAGUAAGAUGGAGCAUUCUGCUCCACAGUCCUAGCUGAGCCCAGCCUUCUAGCUAUCCCCAUCAAGGUGCCAGACAUCACAGUCCCUCCAGCCUAACCAACUGGUACCAGCAAUGACCUCCAUCCAUCAACACCAUGUGCAACAGAAGAAUUGCCCAACUGAGCCCUUCCCAAAUUCACAGCACAAAAUUGGGGGCUAUAAUAAAAUGAUUGUUGUUUUAAGGUAUGAAUUGUUGGAGUUGUUUGUUACACAGCAACAGAUAACUGAGACACUACUCCUACAGUUGCUUAUUAUUACUACUAUUAUGAUUAUUCUUAUUAGUAUUAAAAGACUGUGCCACUUGAAUCUUGCCCUAACUAUUUCUGGCUAAUAAACUGCCCUUUAAGAAGCUACAGAAAUAUUCCUUAU